RNAcentral lists this ribosomal RNA (810 nucleotides) under uncultured bacterium. Its description in RNAcentral is "bacterial SSU rRNA". It matches the Rfam family "Bacterial small subunit ribosomal RNA", at positions 8 to 813 of the family's 1533-position model. The record is from RNAcentral.
AGAGUUUGAUCCUGGCUCAGAUUGAACGCUGGCGGCAGGCCUAACACAUGCAAGUCGAGCGGAUGAGUGGAGCUUGCUCCAUGAUUCAGCGGCGGACGGGUGAGUAAUGCCUAGGAAUCUGCCUGGUAGUGGGGGACAACGUUUCCAAAGGAACGCUAAUACCGCAUACGUCCUACCGGAGAAAGCAGGGGACCUUCGGGCCUUGCGCUAUCCGAUGAGCCUAGGUCGGAUUAGCUAGUAGGUGAGGUAAAGGCUCACCUAGGCGACGAUCCGUAACUGGUCUGAGAGGAUGAUCAGUCACACUGGAACUGAGACACGGUCCAGACUCCUACGGGAGGCAGCAGUGGGGAAUAUUGGACAAUGGGCGAAAGCCUGAUCCAGCCAUGCCGCGUGUGUGAAGAAGGUCUUCGGAUUGUAAAGCACUUUAAGUUGGGAGGAAGGGCAGUAAGUUAAUACCUUGCUGUUUUGACGUUACCAACAGAAUAAGCACCGGCUAACUUCGUGCCAGCAGCCGCGGUAAUACGAAGGGUGCAAGCGUUAAUUGGAAUUACUGGGCGUAAAGCGCGCGUAGGUGGUUCAGCAAGUUGGAGGUGAAAUCCCCGGGCUCAACCUGGGAACUGCCUCCAAAACUACUGAGUUAGAGUACGGUAGAGGGUAGUGGAAUUUCCUGUGUAGCGGUGAAAUGUGUAGAUAUAGGAAGGAACACCAGUGGCGAAGGCGACUACCUGGACUGAUACUGACACUGAGGUGCGAAAGCGUGGGGAGCAAACCGGAUAAAAUUCCCUGGUAGUCCCCGCCGUAAACGAUGUC